Molecule: small nuclear RNA, 98 nt
Filed under: Marmota marmota marmota (Alpine marmot)
Lineage: Eukaryota; Metazoa; Chordata; Mammalia; Rodentia; Sciuridae
Also listed under: 1 other name
Source: RNAcentral
UUACAUUCUAAAUAUAGUAAAACAGGAAUGAUAAGAGAAGCUUAAAGUGGCCCCUGAGCAAGGAUGACAUGCAAAUUUGUGAAGCAUUCCAAAUUUCU